AUGAACGCUGGCGGCGUGCCUAAUACAUGCAAGUCGAGCGAACAGACGAGGAGCUUGCUCCUCUGACGUUAGCGGCGGACGGGUGAGUAACACGUGGAUAACCUACCUAUAAGACUGGGAUAACUUCGGGAAACCGGAGCUAAUACCGGAUAACAUGUUUAACCGCAUGGUUCAACAGUGAAAGACGGUCUUGCUGUCACUUAUAGAUGGAUCCGCGCCGCAUUAGCUAGUUGGUAAGGUAACGGCUUACCAAGGCAACGAUGCGUAGCCGACCUGAGAGGGUGAUCGGCCACACUGGAACUGAGACACGGUCCAGACUCCUACGGGAGGCAGCAGUAGGGAAUCUUCCGCAAUGGGCGAAAGCCUGACGGAGCAACGCCGCGUGAGUGAAGAAGGUCUUCGGAUCGUAAAACUCUGUUAUUAGGGAAGAACAAAUGUGUAAGUAACUAUGCACGUCUUGACGGUACCUAAUCAGAAAGCCACGGCUAACUACGUG
RNAcentral lists this ribosomal RNA (496 nucleotides) under uncultured bacterium. RNAcentral describes it as "partial 16S ribosomal RNA". It matches the Rfam family "Bacterial small subunit ribosomal RNA", at positions 29 to 507 of the family's 1533-position model. The record is from RNAcentral.